RNAcentral lists this ribosomal RNA (370 nucleotides) under uncultured eukaryote. Its description in RNAcentral is "partial 18S ribosomal RNA". It matches the Rfam family "Eukaryotic small subunit ribosomal RNA", at positions 592 to 976 of the family's 1831-position model. The record is from RNAcentral.
CAAUAGCGUAUAUUAAAGUUGUUGCAGUUAAAAAGCUCGUAGUUGGAUUUCUGGUCGGAAGCUCCUGUCCUCUGAUGAGCGUACAAGUGCGUCCUACCAUCCUUCUGUUAACCUUUAAGGCUUUCGCGGCUUUCUAGGGGCUCAGAUAUUUUACCUUGAGAAAAUUAGAGUGUUUCAGGCAGGCUAGCGCCGGAAUACAUUAGCAUGGAAUAAUGGAAUAGGACUUUUGCCUCUUCUGUUGGUCAUGAGGCUCGAGUAAUGAUUAAUAGGGAUAGUUGGGGACAUUAGUACUUAACUGUCAGAGGUGAAAUUCUCGGAUUUGUUAAAGACUAACUUAUGCGAAAGCAUUUGCCAAGGAUGUUUUCAUUAA